This 370-nucleotide ribosomal RNA is filed under the name uncultured organism. RNAcentral's name for it is "bacterial SSU rRNA". It matches the Rfam family "Bacterial small subunit ribosomal RNA", at positions 527 to 896 of the family's 1533-position model. The record is from RNAcentral.
CGAGGGGGCGAGCGUUGUUCGGAAUUAUUGGCGUAAAGGGCGCGUAGGCGGUGCGGUAAGUCACCUGUGAAAACUCCGGGCUCAACUCGGAGCCUGCAGGCGAAACUGCCGUGCUGGAGUGUGGGAGAGGUGCGUGGAAUUCCCGGUGUAGCGGUGAAAUGCGUAGACAUCGGGAGGAACACCUGUGGCGAAAGCGGCGCACUGGACCACAACUGACGCUGAGGCGCGAAAGCUAGGGGAGCAAACAGGAUUAGAUACCCUGGUAGUCCCAGCCCUAAACUAUGGAUGCUUGGUGUGUCGGGUACCCAAUCCCGUCGUGCCGCAGCUAACGCGUUAAGCAUCCCGCCUGGGGAGUACGGUCGCAAGGCUG